GUAAGGAAUAUUGGACAAUGGACGCAAGUCUGAUCCAGCCAUGCCGCGUGAAGGAUUAAGGUCCUCUGGAUUGUAAACUUCUUUUAUAAGGGACGAAAAAAGGCUUUUCUAAGUCGUCUGACGGUACCUUAUGAAUAAGCACCGGCUAACUCCGUGCCAGCAGCCGCGGUAAUACGUAUGGUGCAAGCGUUAUCCGGAUUCACUGGGUUUAAAUGGUGCGUAGGCGGGCAGGUAAGUCAGUUGUGAAAUCCUAGAGCUUAACUCUAGAACUGGCAUUGAUACUAUCUGUCUUGAAUAUUGUGGAGGUAAGCGGAAUAUGUCAUGUAGCGGUGAAAUGCUUAGAUAUGACAUAGAACACCUAUUGCGAAGGCAGCUUACUACGCAUAUAUUAACGCUGAGGCACGAAAGCGUGGGGAUCAAACAGGAUUAGAUACCCUAGUAGUCC
This 445-nucleotide ribosomal RNA is filed under the name uncultured bacterium. RNAcentral's name for it is "bacterial SSU rRNA". It matches the Rfam family "Bacterial small subunit ribosomal RNA", at positions 354 to 796 of the family's 1533-position model. The record is from RNAcentral.